GUUCUUUCUCAGGGACUGUGGGAGCAGGUGUUCUAAAAGGAAGGAUGAAGAUAGCAGUUGCAGUGGGAUGGGCAAUGAGACCCUGGGCUCAGGGAAGUCACUGAGGGUUAAUGUGGCCGGGCAGCCAACGUCACAGCACACGAGGCCCCUGCCACAUCUUACCCACACAUUUCAAGAUCCUGUAUCGCCACAGUGUGUCAUUACUUUGAGACCAUGGACUACUUUCUCAAUUCUUCAGCAGAGAGGUUUUUUCCAAAGCACACAAAUGCUAGUGGUGGAGCUGGUUUAAGGCCAAGAAUCCUCAACUGACAAAGAGCUCAGUAAGCCCUGGGUAGGAUAAAAAAUGCAGGUGUGUCUUGCCCUAAAACAUCUCAGGAUGAAAGAACUCGUUGGAAGUGCCUCUCCAUCCAGAUUUUGUCUAAAGCGUUUAAAGGCGGCUCUCUUUCAACAAUUAAGCUGGUGUGGGAUGGAAGAGCUUUCCUGCAGUUAGGGAAAAACCUUCUCCCUCUUCCUCUUUCCCAGUUCCAGUUGCUUUUGAGUGACAGGCUAACCUGAGCCCUGAAGCCAGAUUCAGAAUUACUAUGGCUUUGAAUUUGAUCUCUUAUUGUUCUAUACUGAAAGAGCAAUAUUCUUUUUGAGAAAGCCUCUCCUAAUUCACCAGUUCCAGAAGGCUGCCUGCUUCCCUGGCCACAGGGGUAGGCUUGGCUGUUACCUUCCCAAAUGGAAAAUGAGGGUGUAGAUUUCAUUGCCCAUUACUGCCCACUUCUCCUGAUCUACCUUUGAUGAUACCAGAGUGGAUUACAUUAUUUGGACUGUCCUGAGUCUACAAAGAAGAGAAACAGAAGAGGGAAGCCUGGUGUAAAACUCUUUCAUUCCAUUCUUGUCUGUCUUUAUCUGCUCCAACUGUGAGGGCUGCUUACCCUAGAAGCAGAUCAAUGCAGAGAUGGACACAUUUGCAGCACCUACAAAGGGUGAGAAAAGACAGGGGAUUCCCAGGCACCGGAAGAAUGAGGAAAACAGUGACCUUUGUUCCCAGGCUACAGAAAAAUGCUGUAUCUAAACUGACAUCGGCCGGCUGGAUGGCAUUUAGAAGCCAAAUGAACUGCUGUUAAGCGGCGAGGUCAGGGGUUCAGCUAAUUGUGGAACCACGGGCACUCCCCACAGACCCAGAAAUCUUUGUAAUCUAUGGCUUAGGGACAUACAUUGUGAAGGUGAUUUUUACAGUUCAUCUUUGAAAAUAGAAAGACGCGGGAAGCUCUGGCUGCUACACAUACUGAUAGUAGCCUUGCCUGGUGUCUUAGAAACAUCUGUGAAAUAUAGCUUUCUGGCUUAAAUAAUAAAAGGAGAUAGAAAGAUAAAAAGAAAUUACAACAAAUACAGUGAAUGAACCAGCCUUGAUAAGGUACCUGCAGAAAACGACCUUAUUUUCUCUCUCCAAUGCAUUAGAAUCCAUGUUGUAAUUUUGUACAUUCUGCAACGCUGGAUGAAAAAUCAGGCAAAUCAAAUAACUUUAUCGCUAUUGGUAAUAAAAAGUCUUCUAGGUUGUUUAAAAUCCAAGAUGAGUCUCCUGGAAAUCAAGCAUUUCAAUAAAUAAAAUGGCCAAGGCAAUGUAGGCAUCAAAACAGAAAGCUUUAUCUAAAGCCAAAGUUCUUUUCCUCUUCUGUUCUGUGCCUGCCUGAGGCUCAAGAUCCGUGACUGGAGAUUCUUUCCUCCUCCUGCUGCCUCGUGAUAUUGAUUCUGGCUUCCCUGGGGCUGGAGCUGAGGGGAAGGAGAUAUGGGAAGGGACCAGAAAGUCCUCGUUGGCGGGCACAGCUGUAAUGAGACAUGGGGUGUAGAGAUGACCAGUUCUACAUCUCUCCCUUCCGG
Molecule: long non-coding RNA, 1866 nt
Filed under: Homo sapiens (human)
Lineage: Eukaryota; Metazoa; Chordata; Mammalia; Primates; Hominidae
Description: HSALNT0132659
Source: RNAcentral